UUGUCCCGCUUCGAAAUUGACAGUUUCUUACACCAAUGUCCAAGCACAUAUGAGAAGUGGAUGGAUGCAGCCAGACGAAAAAAUUGUUCAAGCACACCUCAGAACUGCACUAGUCCGGAGAAUUUCAAAUACCAAUGUGUAGCGAAUGCCUACCUGAACGAAACCAUUGAAGUGUGUGCUCCCGGAUUAUUUCUUUUAGGAUUUUGUCCGGAAUAUAAUUUCCGAGGCGAACGAAUACAAGAUAACUAUAAUGCUGAUUGUAAACAUUAUGCAGAACCUUGCCCAAACAGAUACGAGUCUUGGAAGUCCUACAAAUUUCCAGGAUGAAUUACUCUGAGGAACUCAGUACACAAAAGUGAAUCUUUAUUAUCAAACAAAACUUUAAUUUUUAAAACAGCGAGGAAAAAAAUAAGCAGGCGUAAACUAAGUGACGACAGCUCUAUGGUCUUGAUUUUAUGCCUGAGUACUAGUAUUCCAUUCAUCGUAUUCAUAUCAGCUUUCAUAUUCAUUUUUAUCUAUAGAAGAAAGCGAAGAA
Saccostrea echinata is the source of this 535-nucleotide long non-coding RNA. RefSeq lists it as uncharacterized. Lineage: Eukaryota; Metazoa; Mollusca; Bivalvia; Ostreida; Ostreidae. The transcript is spliced from 4 exons. The record is from RefSeq and is a predicted model, not a curated record.